CGGUUGAAUAUAAAGUUUCACAUGAGGCAAUUGCACCGGCUUCGUAUGUGUAGCACCUGUUCAAAUUUUCCGAGAAUACUUCAAUUACGUUUCGCGAUCUCCUAGUCAGUCGGAAACAUCGAAUACAUUCACCGUCGCCGUACCUGAAAUUUUUAAACGAUAUAAAUUGUUUUAUUUUGAAUACCGAAUCAUCGAAGCAUCUCAUCAUCACCGACGAACCGCAUCGCAACUUAUAACUUUGCGGGAAGGAAUUCUUUCGUCCUCCCCAGGCAACAACUAACCAACCAACCAACAACCUGCACUCUUCCAACUACUAUACUUCUUUCCAGAGGCUAAAAUUCUUCGAGAAAAAAAAGGAUGAAGAAGGAGAAGAAGCAGUAAAAGAAGGCGAUGAAGAUGAAGAUGAAGAAGAAUUUUAUGUCACGGGUGACCAAACAUGAUCGACCAUGAUCCAUUCUAACAAACAAUAUAAUGAGAAACUGAUUCGGAAACUUCAAGUACAUCAUCAGGAUAGAAGAAGAAGAAAUCUCAGCAUCUCUACAGAAUAAAAUAAAAUAAAAUAAAAUGGUGGUUAAAAAAUGAGAGAAAGAGACGAUGAAAAAGUUAAGGAAGGAGAAAAAAAGGAGAUCACUAUAUGAUGCGUAUAUGCGUGCCUGAUGCACGCUGCACGCAAGUAUAAAUAUAUGAUGAUGAUGAUGCGAUGUAAAAAUUGAAGGAGACGUUCGUUCAUGUAUGAUCUUCGUAAACCUGAGCAGCAACCACCUCCGUCGUUCCCUGCUGCUGCGACGACGCAACUCCGGAUGAAAAAUCUGAAAACAGAAAGGAAAUGAAAAUCUUGUUAAAAUAUCUCUCCGCUCCAUUAUAGUAACUUGGAAUUGAUCAAAAUAUACGGAAUCUGUAGAACGAAAAACAGAAAAAAUACCGUCAAAAAAUGAAGAAAAAAAUAACAGUUAAGAGACGAAUAAUGUCAAUGCUGCACAUACUUCAAAGAUUAUUCCCUUUGCAUAUUCUUUAUUGUUAUACUGACACACGAGGUUUGUAUAUAUAUCUAUGUAUAUCGAGGUAUAUGGUGGAUAUAUAUACAAUGUAUGGUAUCCGUAGGCAUCACGUAACUAUGUGAAAGGUGUGGCAUGACAUAUACCUAUGUGGGAUUCAGUAAAGCAAGAUCCAAAGCAAGUUUAGUUCUCAGGAACCUGAGACCUCGUGUGUUUUACACAUACACAUGUACCUAUGCGUAUAUACUUACACGUGCUUUUACAAUACUAAUGCAAAUAAAUUUAUAGUAGGUAAAUAACAAACACACCGUGUAACAUACAAUUUUCUCUCAAAAUCAGUCGCGUUUUUGCAGAUUUUUUUGUGAAAUCGAAGAAGAUAAGAUAAGAUGAUGCGUGAUUCGCGGAUGGUUUUUUUUUUUUUUUUUUAAAAUGUAUGCGCGAAGCUAGAAGGGUGUGAACCAAGUUCUUCCAAAAAAUUUUCACGCGUAAUGCAAAUUUACUUUUUAACUUGAAUUAAUUCAAUUCACUAAUCAAAACGAAACUGGGAAAAGAAAGUGCGAUAGUUUCAUUGACAGCUGAGAUUCUAUGUUUUUUUUUUCUGUUUUUACCGAUGGAUGAAUGAAACGUGAUAAUCUGUAAAUUCCUUAUAGUGAAGUUGUAAAAUGUAAUGAGAAUCUGAAAGACGCGAGUCGUCGGGCCCGCGCGGUCUUCACUUUGCGAACUUGACUCGACCACAUAAACUCGUUUAAGAAACAGUUUCAAAGGGUUUCUUUUUACUCCGCAUUAUAAUUUCUCGGUUGUAUGUGACAUAUAGAUAUAUAAAGUGUCAUCACGUUCCUCCGCAAGUACAAGUGAUAAAAAAAGAGAAGAGAAAGAAAGGAAAAUAUAUGCAGAUAUACAUGUAUACCUUAUAUCGUACAUACAAUGCGGUCAAGAAUCAAUCGCGGUAUAAGUUAAACUGUAUUUAAUUACUUCCUGCCGCAGACGCUAAUACGGUGGCUUAAUAUUAUCGAAAGAAAGCAAAACAAAAGGUUUUUUUGAAAAUUAAUCUGCGUCAUUACGUACGUACGGACGUACGAUAAUUACCCUUACACAUAGGUACGUGACAGAUAAUUGUUUUGAGAAAUGAUCUUUUUGAAUUCAUUGGAAAAAAAAAAAGGAGAAGAGAAAAGGAAACAAAACUUUUCUGAAAAAAACGAAAAAGAGCAACGGAAACGCAUUAAAUAACUGUGCAUAUAUUAUACACACAAGAUAAGCUGUCUCCUAUCUUUCCAAGUUUGCUCACGUUAUUGUAUUAUACCAGAGCAAACAGCGAUUAUUCGUUUAUAAGACGAACUUAAAUUUGUUUCAUUUUUUACAAGUUUUCCGUUCACAGUAUUUUUACUAUAAACGAAAUGAAACGAAGAGUCAGAAUUUAAUUUUUCAUCAAUGAAAUGUUCAAUUGGCGAAUGCGAGUUUAAUUUUCUUUUCGGUUUCGUAUUCGAAAAAUUAUACAAGAACUGAGAGCGAAAAGCGUAAUAAAAAUUAUAGUACAAAUACCACGCGCAUUUAUCGUACCUCGUGGUUUAUCGUGUACGAAAAAUGAUGAAGGAAAUAUGAUACAGGAGAGAAGAAAGAAAAAGAAGAUUUAGAAAAAAAAAUUUAGGAAAUACGAAAAAAAAGAUAAAAGAGGAAAAGAAAAAAAUUAAAUAAAAUAAAAAACACAAAGGAAACCGGAUGAGCCGAUCCAAUGAGGCUCGACCGACCCUGCACGUUCAUAAAGUGCAUGCAAGUGCAGUGUUCAAUUCCUGCAGCAGCUAUGCAGCUUCAAGGACGAUCCAGAAAUUUUUUUUUCAAAAAUUGUCGCACAGAAAAAAGAAAGAAGAAGUUUAGCGAACUAUUGUAAACCAAUCGUAAGAUUAUGAGAAGUAAUAUCUGUGGUGGAAAGUUAAACUUCUUUUUCAUUUAAAUUCAAGUUUCCUUCCCAUAAUCUGAAUAAGUGUUUCAGUAGUGGAGCUAUUUUUCUAAAAAUAAUCGCCCCAUAUCCGGUGGUGCAGGCGUUAAAAAGGAGAAACGAAAAAAUGCAAAAGGAAAAAGAAAGAAAAAAAGAGAGAAAAUAAUAAUCACAAAGAAAGAACGAAAGAAGUUUGGAAGCAAUCUUCCUCGUACUCAAUCACCUUUUACUCUUUAAUCUUAAUUUUCUUUUCCUUUCUUUCUCGUUUUUAUUUUUUAUUUUUUGUUCUUCUUCAGAAUCUUUACCAUUAGGUAUACCUAUAUUGGUCUACACCACAAAAUUAGGUCCGAUUGAAAAAGCAAAUCGACUGCAACCGGCGUCGACUUUACUCUCGAAUAGAUUUUUUUCAAGUGUUCAACUAACACAGAAUCGUAUAUUCUAUAAAUAAUCUACUAUAAGUAGGUAUAUAUGUAAAAUAUAAAUAUGUAAUCCUUAAAAUACUGCAGACGAGCGAAUAUAAAAAGAACAUGCGCGUUUGCUUGUGACCUCACGACUGCAGUCAAACUUUAAAGAAUUUUUUCUCUCCUAUGAAACUUCAUCGCGCAAAAUAAAAAAAAAAAAACCAAUGACCAAAAAUAAACGAUAUUAAAAAAAUAAAAUAAAAAUCGAACAUAGGGUUAAUAUGUAGAAAAAUUAUACAUGCUUAACAACUGUCGCACAUAUCGAGUAAGUUUUCGUCAGCUGAACUCAAAAAUUUGAUACUUAUAUUCUACUUGCGUUUUAUAAAAGGUUUCACUUUUUUGUUGAUAACUUUUUUCUUCUUUACUUUACUUCAACUAUUGAUGUAAAACAAUAACGCGAGUUUACUGACACUGUAAUUAUUAUACUAUUUUAAACAACCGGUUUAUACCUUACAGUACAGUUCACAGUGUAUAGUCAGUUGCUCCGCAUAGUAUGUAAUAAACUACAUGUACCAUAGUUGUUGGUUUCUUGAUGUUCAUAAACUUGGAACACCGAGUCAAAUAAUAGUGAGAAGCAAGCAUCGUGUAACUACGUACCGUAACAGCACACAUUUCUAUCUAGAUACAGCUGAAUCGGUUUAAAAUUUAUUAUCUCGGAAGGAUUUUAUUUUUACAGCAACGAGUUUCAGUUACACGAAUAUUAUACCCAUAUCCGAAACAUAUACCGAAGAAAUACGUUCGAAAAUUGUCCUGCGAAAAAAGGACAAGGAUCUAUACAUUAUUUGCGAGUUGCAACGGGAGCAAAAACGCAACUCCAGGAAAACAGGAGCAGCAUCAGGACCGUGUAAUUCCUCUCUAUCGAUUACACGUCCUUUAGUCGGGAUAUAAAUUUCCUAUACCUAUCUGCCCAGGAUAGUUUUUGGAGGGGUUCUCUCUGGAUUGCUUUUCGAGUCAUAAGGAGGGGGAUGAUUUAGCGAUUCCCGAGGGAUCCCCUUCGCCCCUAUAUACGUUAUAUUGUAUAAGGUAUGUGUAUACAUGCAACAGUGCAUUGCAGAAAUAUACGCUACAGUUGCACGGAGAUUCCUGUGUACUCACGUUGCAAAAAAUACGUCAAAUGUAAAUUUUGCAAUUUCCCUCAUUGUUUUUUCAAAGACCUAGUUGUCUUUUUUUCAGUCUUGAAUUCUCGCAUAUGAAUCCGAUCCCUGCAGAAUUGUAACCCCAACGAUAUUGAAUAAUUCAAAAGGCAUUUAACGGAAUUACUUCUUUUUAUUUUUGAAAAUAAAAAAGUAUGGGCGAAAUAAUGCAUUAUUGAAGAUCGAAAAAUGAGGAGGAGAGAGGGAGAAAUCCGGGAGGACAAAAGCGGCAACGUCCGUUAAAAAAUUUUUAAGUAGACCUUUUUACAGAACGCGAGACCCCCUAGUCCGAAGGAGAGCCCUUAAAUUAAUCUCAAGGAUAAAUUCGUGAUUCAUAUUUUGCAUGGCUCAAGUAUUGGUGGGGGUAUAUGGGUAUUACGUGACGUGAGACGAGUCAUUUUUCGUUCUAAUCAAAACUAAUAAUCGGAAGAAAGAAAGAGAGAAAAAAAGGGGCGUUGAUAGCACGUAUGUGAAGGACGAUGUGAUGCAGCCGAUUACGUUAUAGAAAAUAUAUAAGAAAAGUACUUCCUGUAAUCAGAUACCCAUCAGACCCCACACGCUAUGCGACGAGACCCACGGGAUUAAAGAGCCGCCCAUUCUUCUCUCUUUUUUGAAAAAAAAUAAAUAAAUAAAUUUCCAAACUCUCCACACAUACGUUUCUAUUUCUCUCUCUCCUUUUAUCGGUUCUAAAGUUGAAAGAAGAAGAAAAUCGCAUUAUUAAAAGAAUUUAAACUCAUUCCCAUCGAAUUUUGCGGAUGAUUUUUGCAACGUACUUUCUCCUUACUUUUCUUUUUUUGUAAAAGAAUAAUUAAUGUGCACCGAUCAAGGAUUCGAAUGUGAGAAGGAUCAGACCAUCUCCUGCGGGAGCAGAUGAUGAAGAAAUAAAAAAGGGGGAAAAAAAUAUGGAAAAAUGAAAGAAAAAGAAAAAAAGAGAAUUUUUUCACCGUGGCACAUCUGUCCUUCCGGUGCAGUUCAUAUGCUGCUACUGCUCCUGCUGCAGCCCCGUAUU
This is a long non-coding RNA of Athalia rosae (coleseed sawfly), 5531 nucleotides long. RefSeq lists it as uncharacterized. NCBI's taxonomy places the organism in Eukaryota, Metazoa, Arthropoda, Insecta, Hymenoptera, Athaliidae. The record is from RefSeq and is a predicted model, not a curated record. The transcript is spliced from 5 exons.